RNAcentral lists this long non-coding RNA (1917 nucleotides) under Bos indicus x Bos taurus (hybrid cattle). RNAcentral describes it as "lncRNA (ENSBIXG00005024581.1)". Lineage: Eukaryota; Metazoa; Chordata; Mammalia; Artiodactyla; Bovidae. The record is from RNAcentral.
CCUGCAUUGCCAGGAGGAUUCUUUAACACUGAGCCAUCUGUGAAGUGUAGUCAUUUUCUUUGUUUGUUUAUUUGUUUUGUUUUGGGUUUGUUGUUGUUGUUGUUAACAAAGAGCUUUAUUUUCAUGUUCUGGUUUCUUCAUGUCCUAGGUUCUGCUAACAACCUUGAUUCUUGCACUGUUGAGCAUGUCAACAGCCAAAGAUACAUCACUUUGAGGAGGAAACAAGCAGGAAGGUGGCCAGCUCCCUGUCCCCCCACCUUCUCCUGGUAUCUCCAUCCCACAGGAAGGGUCCAGGUCAGACUCUUGGCUUUGGCGGAAGUCAGAGGAAGAAGUCAUCGCACACACACAGGGCCAGGCUUCUCCUGAGUACCCAUCGUUCCCUCUCUUCUUCACCAUCUUUUGGCCAUGGCUGCCCAGAUCAGGGAUGAGAAGAGGGCCAUUUGCUAAAUGUGAUCCCUAGGUUGAGCUUUGACUGACAGGGAGCAGGGUCUCAGGCUCCAGCUUGACUGGGCGGGGGUGCUGACUGGCCUGGAUUGUCAUAACUGAUGAGCAGUCUGUCCUCUGAAAGGGCAGGAGGAAAGGAAGGGACAGGAUGUAGCAUGGGAAUGGUCAUGUCCUGUGGUGGUCCUGAGGAAACUGCAAGAAGUCUGAUGAGUCAUUAAGUCAUUUCACAAGUAAGGUCAUGUACCGAGGUGUACACGCAGAAACAGAUCCAGUGUGUAGCCUGGGCAGACAUCCCAGUAGCAGUUGAGGGCUUGUGAAGUUGUCUACCCGAAGUCAUUGGCAGGGGCUCUGCUCCAGACCAGAGACUCCCAUCCCCACGGAGAAGGCUUGGAACAUCACCCUAAAUAGCUCUUCAUCCCUCCCUCAACAGAGCCCUGGACUGGGGUUGAUUUUCAAAUUUCACAACUUGGGAACUUAAUAAUCACCUUUAAAGAAAGUAUAUCAAGGCUAGGGAAACUUUGGUCAAUUUGUGUAAUUAUUCAUCGGUUAUGCUUCUGUGUGGCUCAGAUGGUAAAAAAUCUGCUUGCCAGUGAGGGAGACCCAGGUUCAAUCCCUGGAUCAGGAAGAUCCCCUGGAGAAAGGAAUGGCAACCCACUCCAGUAUUCUCUGGAGAAUCCAUGGACAGAGGUGCCUCGUGGACUACAUACAGUCCAUGGGGUCACAAAGAGUCAGACACAACUGAGUAACUAGUUUAACUAACACUGCAUCUAAUCUCAGUGUCUCUGUAGUUGGAAUUGUUCAACCAAGGAAAAACCUAGCCUCAGGUGUCUCUGUUAAGUAGAAUAAGGUUGUCUAAUUGUCCACGAUUUUUCCAUGGCUGUAAAAUGUUUUCUGGACCCUCUCUGUCCCCCAUGCUUCCUCUUAGGAUUAACUAGUGUCAACAUCAUCUUACUCCUGAUUUGUCAUUUGCCACUUUUUUCUGUCCCCAAUACUCAGAAUCAUUGUGGGUGUUGGAGAGAUCCUGCCCUCUCAAAUCACCACUCACUGGCUUCCCUUGUGGUUCAACUUGUAAAGAAUCUGCCUGCCAUGUGGGAGACCUAAGUUCAAUACUUGGGUUGGGAAGAUUCCCUGGAGAAGGGAAAGGCUACCCACUCCAGUGUUCUGGCCUGGGGAAUUCCAUGAGGUCACAAAGAGUCGGACACGACUGAGUGACUUUCACUUCCACUUCCCUUAAUGGUCCCGGUGUAGAUGCAGAAAGCAAGAACAGUGCCCUCUGUAAGCCUCUGCCUGAAGAAUUUUAUAUCAGGGUGUGUUGACUGUGUUAAUCACUCAGUUGUGUCUGACUGAGAAGGCAGAUUGUUAACCAUCUGAGCCAUCAGAGAAGCUCUUGUUUUUUUGUGUUUUUUUUUUUGUAUCAACUUCCUCUUUAUUUACUCAGAGUAGUAAUUUAAUAAAAGUUGUAACCAUCAUCCA